UGCAGUCGAACGGUGAAGCAGGAGCUUGCUCUUGUGGAUCAGUGGCGAACGGGUGAGUAACACGUGAGCAACCUGCCCCGGACUCUGGGAUAAGCGCUGGAAACGGCGUCUAAUACUGGAUAUGAGACGUGACCGCAUGGUCAACGUUUGGAAAGAUUUUUCGGUCUGGGAUGGGCUCGCGGCCUAUCAGCUUGUUGGUGAGGUAAUGGCUCACCAAGGCGUCGACGGGUAGCCGGCCUGAGAGGGUGACCGGCCACACUGGGACUGAGACACGGCCCAGACUCCUACGGGAGGCAGCAGUGGGGAAUAUUGCACAAUGGGCGAAAGCCUGAUGCAGCAACGCCGCGUGAGGGAUGACGGCCUUCGGGUUGUAAACCUCUUUUAGCAGGGAAGAAGCGAGAGUGACGGUACCUGCAGAAAAAGCGCCGGCUAACUACGUGCCAGCAGCCGCGGUAAUACGUAGGGCGCAAGCGUUAUCCGGAAUUAUUGGGCGUAAAGAGCUCGUAGGCGGUCUGUCGCGUCUGCUGUGAAAUCUGGAGGCUCAACCUCCAGCCUGCAGUGGGUACGGGCAGACUAGAGUGCGGUAGGGGAGAUUGGAAUUCCUGGUGUAGCGGUGGAAUGCGCAGAUAUCAGGAGGAACACCGAUGGCGAAGGCAGAUCUCUGGGCCGUAACUGACGCUGAGGAGCGAAAGGGUGGGGAGCAAACAGGCUUAGAUACCCUGGUAGUCCACCCCGUAAACGUUGGGAACUAGUUGUGGGGUCCUUUCCACGGAUUCCGUGACGCAGCUAACGCAUUAAGUUCCCCGCCUGGGGAGUACGGCCGCAAGGCUAAAACUCAAAUGAAUUGACGGGGAA
RNAcentral lists this ribosomal RNA (855 nucleotides) under Microbacterium thalassium. RNAcentral's name for it is "bacterial SSU rRNA". It matches the Rfam family "Bacterial small subunit ribosomal RNA", at positions 56 to 920 of the family's 1533-position model. Lineage: Bacteria; Bacillati; Actinomycetota; Actinomycetes; Micrococcales; Microbacteriaceae. The record is from RNAcentral.